CCAAGGAUACCCCCCCAAGUCGUGAGAAUUUAGCUGGCUCUCUCAGAACUUGUCUGCUCUAAAUUCACGCUAAUGUCUUAUAGUUAUAGGUAACCAUUGGAUGGUGAGUCCAGCGGAAGGGUGUUUAAGUGGUUAUGUGUGAUGGCGUUUCCCGGAAAUGCUCAAACUUCGUGUCAAAUUUUUGCAGGUUUGGUUAGGAAGGGGAAUGAGUCGAAGGUUUAUUGUUGAUAUGAUGUAUG
RNAcentral lists this long non-coding RNA (239 nucleotides) under Medicago truncatula (barrel medic). RNAcentral's name for it is "long non-coding RNA (MTRU_LNC001835)". Lineage: Eukaryota; Viridiplantae; Streptophyta; Magnoliopsida; Fabales; Fabaceae. The record is from RNAcentral.